RNAcentral lists this ribosomal RNA (307 nucleotides) under uncultured bacterium. Its description in RNAcentral is "bacterial SSU rRNA". It matches the Rfam family "Bacterial small subunit ribosomal RNA", at positions 30 to 334 of the family's 1533-position model. The record is from RNAcentral.
AUUGAACGCUGGCGGCAGGCUUAACACAUGCAAGUCGAACGGUAACGGGUUGAAAGCUUGCUUUCAAUGCUGACGAGUGGCGGACGGGUGAGUAAGGCUUGGGGAUCUGGCUUUUGGAGGGGGAUAACCAUUGGAAACGAUGGCUAAUACCGCAUAGUAUCGAGAGAUGAAAGGGGUGGGAAACCACUUGCCAAGGGAUGAACCCAAGUGAGAUUAGGUAGUUGGUGGGGUAACGGCCUACCAAGGCUGCGAUGCAUAGCCGACCUGAGAGGGUGAUCGGCCACACUGGGACUGAGACACGGCCCAG